This 570-nucleotide ribosomal RNA is filed under the name uncultured bacterium. RNAcentral's name for it is "partial 16S ribosomal RNA". It matches the Rfam family "Bacterial small subunit ribosomal RNA", at positions 355 to 919 of the family's 1533-position model. The record is from RNAcentral.
UGGGGAAUUUUGGACAAUGGGCGAAAGCCUGAUCCAGCAAUGCCGCGUGUGUGAAGAAGGCCUUCGGGUUGUAAAGCACUUUUGUCCGGAAAGAAAUCCUUGGCUCUAAUACAGUCGGGGGAUGACGGUACCGGAAGAAUAAGCACCGGCUAACUACGUGCCAGCAGCCGCGGUAAUACGUAGGGUGCAAGCGUUAAUCGGAAUUACUGGGCGUAAAGCGUGCGCAGGCGGUUUGCUAAGACCGAUGUGAAAUCCCCGGGCUCAACCUGGGAACUGCAUUGGUGACUGGCAGGCUAGAGUAUGGCAGAGGGGGGUAGAAUUCCACGUGUAGCAGUGAAAUGCGUAGAGAUGUGGAGGAAUACCGAUGGCGAAGGCAGCCCCUGGGCCAAUACUGACGCUCAUGCACGAAAGCGUGGGGAGCAAACAGGAUUAGAUACCCUGGUAGUCCACGCCCUAAACGAUGUCAACUAGUUGUUGGGGAUUCAUUUCCUUAGUAACGUAGCUAACGCGUGAAGUUGACCGCCUGGGGAGUACGGUCGCAAGAUUAAAACUCAAAGGAAUUGACGGGGU